UUUGUAGGUGAACCUGCGGAAGGAUCAUUA
Molecule: ribosomal RNA, 30 nt
Filed under: Mucor circinelloides
Lineage: Eukaryota; Fungi; Mucoromycota; Mucoromycetes; Mucorales; Mucoraceae
Also listed under: 1 other name
Description: partial 18S ribosomal RNA
Source: RNAcentral